Molecule: transfer-messenger RNA, 373 nt
Filed under: Bacteroidales
Lineage: Bacteria; Pseudomonadati; Bacteroidota; Bacteroidia
Also listed under: 2 other names
Description: UBA2030 sp002332755 Standard tmRNA
Rfam family: transfer-messenger RNA
About the family: Bacterial tmRNA, also known as 10Sa RNA or SsrA, is named for its dual tRNA and mRNA-like properties. Its role is to liberate the mRNA from a stalled ribosome.
Source: RNAcentral
GGGGCUGACUGGUUUUGACAGCAUGACAGUGUAAUUGUAAGCAUGCCGGGCGUUGGGGAAAGGCCCGUUAAAAACUGCCUCAAAGCCAAUAAAUGGCAACAACUACAACUAUGCACUUGCAGCUUAAUCGGGACUGAUUAAGCGGGGUGUGUCCUCCGGGAAGCCUUGCCUUUCGGCGUCCCGUCCAGGGCAUCGCAAAAGAGAGGCUGGCCAGGUUUAUGUCCCGUAAACUUGGUAAGAAAUUAGGGACUAAGAGGCCGGAUAGGUUAGCCCCUGGCUCGUCCGCCUCCGACAAUCUUUUCAGGGGAUAAGCAUGUAGAAAGCACUUAUGCUGCAUGUUUGGACCGGAGUUCGACUCUCCGCAGCUCCACUC